RNAcentral lists this ribosomal RNA (395 nucleotides) under uncultured bacterium. Its description in RNAcentral is "bacterial SSU rRNA". It matches the Rfam family "Bacterial small subunit ribosomal RNA", at positions 28 to 423 of the family's 1533-position model. The record is from RNAcentral.
GACGAACGCUGGCGGCGUGCUUAACACAUGCAAGUCGAGCGGUAAGGCCCUUUCGGGGGUACACGAGCGGCGAACGGGUGAGUAACACGUGGGUGACCUGCCUUUAGCUCUGGGAUAAGCCUGGGAAACCGGGUCUAAUACCGGAUAUGACUCCGCGGCGCAUGUUGUGGGGUGGAAAGCCUUGUGCGGCUGGAGAUGGGCCCGCGGCCUAUCAGCUUGUUGGUGGGGUGAUGGCCUACCAAGGCGACGACGGGUAGCCGGCCUGAGAGGGCGACCGGCCACACUGGGACUGAGACACGGCCCAGACUCCUACGGGAGGCAGCAGUGGGGAAUCUUGCGCAAUGGGACGAAAGCCUGACGCAGCGACGCCGCGUGAGGGAUGACGGCCUUCGGUU